GUUUGAUCAUGGCUCAGAACGUACGCUGGCGGCACGCCUAACACAUGCAAGUCGAACGAAGUAGCAAUACUUAGUGGCAGACGGGUGAGUAACAUGUGGGUAUCUGCCCUUUGGCCUGGAAUAACACGAGGAAACUUGUGCUAAUACCGGAUAAGUCUUUACGGAGAAAGCUUUAUGCACCAUUGGAUGAGCCCGCACUUGAUUAGUUUGUUGGUGGGGUAAUGGCCUACCAAGACUGUGAUCAAUAGCUGAUUUGAGAGGAUGAUCAGCCACAUUGGGACUGAGACACGGCCCAAACUCCUACGGGAGGCAGCAGUGGGGAAUCUUGCACAAUGGAGGAAACUCUGAUGCAGCGAUGCCGCGUGAGUGAAGAAGGCCCUUGGGUUGUAAAGCUCUUUCGUCGGGGAAGAAAAUGACUGUACCCGAAUAAGAAGGUCCGGCUAACUUCGUGCCAGCAGCCGCGGUAAUACGAAGGGACCUAGCGUAGUUCGGAAUUACUGGGCUUAAAGAGUUCGUAGGUGGUUGAAAAAGUUAGUGGUGAAAUCCCAGAGCUUAACUCUGGAACUGCCAUUAAAACUUUUCAGCUAGAGUAUGAUAGAGGAAAGCAGAAUUUCUAGUGUAGAGGUGAAAUUCGUAGAUAUUAGAAAGAAUACCAAUUGCGAAGGCAGCUUUCUGGAUCAUUACUGACACUGAGGAACGAAAGCAUGGGUAGCGAAGAGGAUUAGAUACCCUCGUAGUCCAUGCCGUAAACGAUGUGUGUUAGACGUUGGAAAUUUAUUUUCAGUGUCGCAGCGAAAGCGAUAAACACACCGCCUGGGGAGUACGACCGCAAGGUUAAAACUCAAAUGAAUUGACGGGGACCCGCACAAGUAGUGGAGCAUGUGGUUUAAUUCGAAGAUACGCGCAGAACCUUACCAACACUUGACAUGUUCGUCGCGACUUUAAGAGAUUAGAGUUUUCGGUUCGGCCGGACGAAACACAGGUGCUGCAUGGCUGUCGUCAGCUCGUGUCGUGAGAUGUUGGGUUAAGUCCCGCAACGAGCGCAACCCUCACUUUUAGUUGCCAUCAUUAAGUUGGGCACUCUGAAAGAACUGCCAGUGAUAAGCUGGAGGAAGGUGGGGAUGACGUCAAGUCCUCAUGGCCCUUACGUGUUGGGCUACACACGUGCUACAAUGGUAUCUACAACAGGAAGCAAGACUGCGAGGUCAAGCAAAUCCUUAAAAGAUACCUCAGUUCGGAUUGCACUCUGCAACUCGAGUGCAUGAAGCUGGAAUUACUAGUAAUCGUGGAUCAGCGUGCCACGGUGAAUGCGUUCCCGGGUCUUGUACACACCGCCCGUCACACCAUGGGAGUUGGUUCUACCUUAAGGCAAGGUUUCAAACCCUUGACCACGGUAUAGUCAGCGACUGGGGUGAAGUCGUAACAAGGUAGCCGUA
This 1436-nucleotide ribosomal RNA is filed under the name uncultured bacterium. RNAcentral's name for it is "bacterial SSU rRNA". It matches the Rfam family "Bacterial small subunit ribosomal RNA". The record is from RNAcentral.